GACCAGACUCCUACGGGAGGCAGCAGUAGGGCCUUUUGCGCAAUGGGCGCCAGCCUGACGCCGCCACGCCGCGUGCUCGAGACGCCCUUCGGGGUGUAAAGCUCUUUCAGUGGGGCCGCCCCUUGACGGUCCCCCCAGAGGAAGCACCGGCUAACUCCGUGCCAGCAGCCGCGGUAAUACGGGGGGUGCCCGCGUUGGCCGGCAUCAUUGGGCGUAAAGAGUUCGGAGGCGGCACGUAAAGUCUGGUGUUAAAGGCAGAGGCUCAACGUCUGUACGGCACUGGAUACUUGCGAGCUAGAAUGCGGUAGAGGUAAAGGGAAUUCCUGGUGUAGCGGUGAAAUGCGGAGAGAUCAGGAGGACCAUCGGUGGCGGAAGCGCUUUACUGGGCCGUAAUUGACGCUGAGGAACGAAAGCCAGGGUAGCAAAGGGGAUUAGAUCCCCCAGUACC
RNAcentral lists this ribosomal RNA (448 nucleotides) under uncultured bacterium. RNAcentral describes it as "bacterial SSU rRNA". It matches the Rfam family "Bacterial small subunit ribosomal RNA", at positions 329 to 794 of the family's 1533-position model. The record is from RNAcentral.